This 428-nucleotide ribosomal RNA is filed under the name uncultured archaeon. RNAcentral describes it as "bacterial SSU rRNA". It matches the Rfam family "Archaeal small subunit ribosomal RNA", at positions 474 to 903 of the family's 1478-position model. The record is from RNAcentral.
UACCAGCUCUCCGAGUGGUAGGGAUGAUUAUUGGGCUUAAAGCGUCCGUAGCCGGCUUAGCAAGUUUCCUGUUAAAUUCAGCGACCUAAUCGUUGAGCCGCGGGAAAUACUACUAGGCUAGGAGGCGGGAGAGGUCGACGGUACUUCUGGGGUAGGGGUGAAAUCCUAUAAUCCCGGGAGGACCACCAGUGGCGAAGGCUGUCGACUAGAACGCGCUCGACGGUGAGGGGCGAAAGCUGGGGGAGCGAACCGGAUUAGAUACCCGGGUAGUCCCAGCUGUAAACGAUGCGGGCUAGGUGUUGGGGUGGCUACGUGCCACUUCAGUGCCGCAGGGAAGCCAUUAAGCCCGCCGCCUGGGGAGUACGGCCGCAAGGCUGAAACUUAAAGGAAUUGGCGGGGAGCACCACAAGGCGUGAAGCUUGCGGUUC